Molecule: long non-coding RNA, 1763 nt
Filed under: Coturnix japonica (Japanese quail)
Lineage: Eukaryota; Metazoa; Chordata; Aves; Galliformes; Phasianidae
Description: lncRNA (ENSCJPG00005020779.1)
Source: RNAcentral
CAGAGAUAUAUUCAUGUUCAUUUGGUGGUAUAAUGCAUUGAAAAGGGCUGAAUCACUGCUAAUUUGGAUAUUAUCUACUUCUUUCUGUAGACUAGAACAUCAAGAGUGGGAGAGUAUCCAUUCAACUACAGACUUGCCUGGAGCGUGUCUCUCUCUCUGCUGUCUGGUCAUUGCCCAAGGGAAGACUGCAGUUUGGGAUAAGAUCUGCUCUCUAACAAACUUAUCUCGUGUGGGGAUGAUGUCUCUGAGGUUGUGCCUCUGCAAGGCCACUCACUUUACCAUGCUGAGUCCAAGAGAAGACUUCCAAUUGAUUGCCAGUGAUUGGCUGGGGAGCUUGGAGACCUGAAUCAAAACCUGAAGCUGUCAACUUGCUGAAGUAGUAAGUAGCUUUUAAAACGUCAUUACCAUUCACCAUUAUCAUUAUGCUUACAUAGUACAACAGCAGCUCAGCACUGGUUUGAUAGUCACAGCGAUCAUCUGUGCUCCUCAAUAGCCAUUGAAAUGUUCCUCUAUAACAUAAACGUCUGGCAGUACCUCAGGAUCGAGACGAAUGUUUAAUAUCUGUGUUACUAAUGGUGAAACUGAGAUAUAGCAUGUCUUAAGUGGCUGAACCCAAGUGCAUUAUGCUGUGAGAUUGCUCUCUGGGCUGGAUUGAGAGCCCUGCGAGAUCCCCAUCACACCAGAGGGAGGACUUUAAGCUCCGCAGCUACCUCAGGUCUCUUAUAGAUGAGCCUGGGCAUCUUGGUUGGGUGUUGUGGUGCUAUGUUAAAUUACUCUUGAGACGAGAGGAAGUUGAUUUUGCUAUCUGUAUUCAGAUAUGGAUUUGGAGAGCAAGCUUUUGCCUCCAUUGCGUGAAUUGUGAAAUUUAGCUUUCUGCUUUUGCAUGUUCGUUGUUGUUUAGAAAUAGGAGUGAAAUGCAUUUGGAUGGCACAAAAAACAGCACCUGUAGAGAACCAAGAAGGCAGAGAAUUAAGAAGUGUGCAGUAACUGGUUGAUGCCAUUCCUCCAAUGGGAGGAAACUGUUUUUACCUGCUAACGUUCUCCCUUGCAACCUUCAUUCAACGUCAGCUAUUCCUUUGUUUAUUUCUGUAUUUAUUUAUACUAGUGACUGUAAUGAAUCUACCAAUGGCUUAGUCUGCAACUGUUCUUUUGUCGUCCUCCUCAAAAUACAAGUUCUGUUUGUAGUCUCUUUUUGCCAGAUCAAUACUGUAUGAAAUAUUGCCACAUCGUGCUGUUACUAGGCUGUGUCACCUCAGGAAAGUCAUUGAAGUUACCUUUCAUCUCAGAAUACUUUAAUGUACUUCUUUAUCUGUUUUAAAUUGUGAACAAUUUCCUUCUUGAAACUGGGAAGCUGUAGAGGGCAGCUUUAUUUGUGACCUUACGUUGCAUUUCUGCACUUCUAGAAGUAUUAACUUGUUACUGAAAUGUGACCUUUGCUUUCAGUACCGUGCAUUUAUGUCCUGCCACACCCCACCUACCAGAUUUUCCAUGUUAAAACACAGUGUUUCUGUCCAUCUUUCAUUUUUCUCUAAAGCCUGGCCCACGAUGAUGACAGGACUGUGUGAAUGAUAAUAUAUGAAUUUUGUAUUCCCCAUAGUGAGGCAACAUCGUUUUGGUUCUUUACAGAAUAUGUACAGCAGUUUAUUACUUUCAUGAUAUAUUGGAGGAAUGCAAAGAUGAGAAGUUUAGUGCUUGGUAAGAAAGCCAGAAUCCAAACAAUGCUUCAAAGGCUUUUAAAAUAAAUCUUUAUGUCUGUGUUGACA